Molecule: transfer RNA, 74 nt
Filed under: Toxocara canis (dog roundworm)
Lineage: Eukaryota; Metazoa; Nematoda; Chromadorea; Rhabditida; Toxocaridae
Rfam family: tRNA
About the family: Transfer RNA (tRNA) molecules are approximately 80 nucleotides in length.
Source: Rfam by way of RNAcentral
GCCGCCAUAGCUCAGUCGGUUAGAGCGUGGGCCUAAUAAGCAGAAGGUCGCAGUUUCGACCCCUGCUGGCGGCA